RNAcentral lists this long non-coding RNA (2435 nucleotides) under Erythranthe guttata (spotted monkey flower). RNAcentral describes it as "long non-coding RNA (EGUT_LNC000841)". Lineage: Eukaryota; Viridiplantae; Streptophyta; Magnoliopsida; Lamiales; Phrymaceae. The record is from RNAcentral.
AAAAAUUGGAAUAGUCCAGUUGCUGCAAUAGUGGGUCCAGUUUGAUGAUGUAAACUGUGUUUGGUAUAUAAAAUAAAAUAUAACUAAAUACAUUGUUUGGAAAUUUUGAGCUUCUAAACAAUAUCUUCAUCUUCAUAUUAAGUAGCAUCUCAUAGUCAACAAAUUUCCCAUUGGAAAACUUCUUGUUAAUUGGAACCAAAACCUGUGACAAAAAAGAAAGAAAGAAAAAAAUGGAAAAGAGAGGCCAUGCAAAGAUGUAAACUCAAACUACAAACCUUCCGAUAGACCGCACCGUCUCUUCUCCUCAAAUGAUGAAUAAAAACGGAUGCAUGAAUAAAUUCAUAUGAGAACAUGGCUAUUUGAACGAAAGCCGGAAAAAAAAAAACAAUCAUGUGAUAGAAAACAAUAGUCUUCUGAUCGGUUGCAAAUAAUUUCUUCUCUUUGAAUGGUUUGAGUUGUAUGAAUGUUCGGCCAAAAAUUCUUUUUAACUGAUGAUGAUUGUAUAAAAUAAAAGUUUUUGUGAAUUAGAAUUUAAAGAUGUAAAAAAAAAAUUGUGUAAAUGAAACAGAAAAGAAAAUAUACAUACCGCUGCUAUGCUGCUACAAAAAUAAACAAAACCGAAAAUCGGGCUGUACUGUUAUGAAAACAUAGAUGCUCUGCAGAUGAAACGGGGUAAAACUAUACAGAUGAACAACAACAUGAAGUUAUCCUUUAAGUUUUAUACAACAAAAAGUUUUGACUGUUAUGCUGCUAUGAAAACGAAAGUGAAAGAAUAAUUUAGUCAUGAGAAAUAGAGCAUAUUAAAGAUCCCAAAGAUCUCUUUCACUUGGAUUUGGAUGCAAAUACUUAGCGGUAUUUCGCCGUAACAUUACAAUAAAAAAAAAUCAGGAUACAUUAAAUAUAUCAAACAAUAUUGUUAUGCAAACACAUAUACCCAUAGUGACGGCAUACAUGAACAGACAAUGUCAAAGAGGUUGAAACAGUGUGUUUGUAGAACCGCCUGGAAGUUAUGAGGUUAAAUUAGAAUUCUUGACAAUUUUUCUAGGUUGAGGAGAGAAGUUGCCUGAGAUGUCACAAAUCGUGUAUUUUUCUAGUGCUAUUGUAUGUACAGAGAAAAAAAACAAAAAAAAGCCGGAAAAAAGAAAAAGACAAAACCGAGAAAAUUAAAACAGAGAAACGGAGAUAAUUCGUUUGGGGAAAGAAAUCUGAAUGUUUCAAAGAAUGUAUUUGAAUAAUUGUUUUCAUACUUCCAUAUAUCAGCUAAAAGAUUUUUUCAGGAAAAAAAGAGAACAAAAAUAAAUUCGGUAAAUUCUAGAAAAACUAAACUUAAAACAAAAAUAGAAGUAUUAUGCUUGAAAAGAGUUUAUGUAGAAUAAAAAUACCAUGAUGAAUGGAAGCGCAAAAAACAACAUGCUGAGAAGGGAUAUGAUCGUCGUGUUAUGAAAUUGCUUCUUGUUUUAACAAACCUGGCCGGAAGUAAAAUGAACUUUGUGAAAUUGUGAACAAUUUAAACAUGUGAACAGAUUUCCGAGAGAUAUACCGCAACAAAACUCCAUAGUAAUACUUUAAACAAAAACAUCGAAAUCUUUUCAGAAAAAAAAAAAAAAACAAUCCUGUACAAUUGCUUCAUGUUCGUGAAACCUGUACGAAAAAACAACAAAGCAAAUUAAAAUUGACAAUACAACGAAAUUAUUUUCCUCAAUCAUCUAAACUCAUAAACAUAAACAACUUACGGUAUAUAAUAUAUAAAAUAUAUCUGAUAAAACCCAAAAAAAUGUGCCUAAGAAUUCACCACACCAUCUGGAAAAAGAACAAAACUCGGAUUAUACAGUUGAUGAUUUACAAAAGGAAAACAAAAAAUUAAAAACAAAAAAAAAUUGGUAGACAUUUUUUAACUCUAGCACAUCAACAAUUCUUUCGAGAUGACAAAAUAUAUCUGAAAAACAUUUGUCUUAAAUUAGGACACAAUAUUCAGAGCAAACAAAUUAAUUUUGAAAUGAAGAACUGUCAAUAGCUUAAGACAUUUCGGAUAAAGAGAUUGAGAGAUAGGAGAGGCCGAAAUUAUAUUCAUUGUUCAAUAGCAUCCAACAAUCCAGAAAGUAGCUUCAAUAUUCCGUCGCAGAGCAAAAUAAUUGGAAUGGCAGAGCAAAUGAAGUAAAUUUGAAAGGAAUAACUCAUAAUACCUUAAUGAACAGACAAAAGAAGCGAAAAUAUAUUUCCCAGCAAUCUGUCUAGAUAAAAAAAAAAAUUGGUGAUCCGAUUUCCGGAGAGCAAAAUAGCAGUUUCAACAUAAAGUAGCUCAAUUUAAUAGUCUGUAGGAGAUGAAGAUGACAUCGGUUUUUUUUUUUUUUUUUUUUCACAGAUCGUGGGAAAGAAGAGCAGUUCCAAAUUCUAAGGCAAAUAUUGGACAUGGGGUGUAUGAGAGACGGUUUAUA